Pistacia vera is the source of this 200-nucleotide long non-coding RNA. RefSeq lists it as uncharacterized. The transcript is spliced from 3 exons. Lineage: Eukaryota; Viridiplantae; Streptophyta; Magnoliopsida; Sapindales; Anacardiaceae. The record is from RefSeq and is a predicted model, not a curated record.
GGGCAUUUCAACCGCAGAUGUGAUUUAUCAAAGCUUAGGUCUCCAACUGGUGGGCUGGUUGGGCAGGCUUGCUUUCCCUCCUCCACGAUGUUUAAAAGAUCGUCCUCCCAGUCCUUUCUUUUGUGGUAUAUUUCCUUCAUAUGAUCUCAUCUUCGUUCCUAAAGACAGAAAUAUGCAUAAUCCUGAAGGCUUAACUCGCU